RNAcentral lists this long non-coding RNA (453 nucleotides) under Anser brachyrhynchus (Pink-footed goose). RNAcentral describes it as "lncRNA (ENSABRG00000011202.1)". The record is from RNAcentral. Lineage: Eukaryota; Metazoa; Chordata; Aves; Anseriformes; Anatidae.
GUAUCUGUGUGCUUAAUCACCCUAGACAGCUUUUGCCUUUUUUUUUUUUUCCUUGCUUGAAUUUGUGGAAUCACUCUGAUUGGAUGCAGGCUAUCAAUAGCUCUCCAUCAGAGGUCCCACAGCAGAAAGGAUUGCUUCCUUCUAUUGCUCUACCCUGAUACCCGAUACUUUCACUUGAUGGUGCUCAUUUCUUGUAUUAAAUGCCAAAUACUAAUUUUCUGGUCACUUUCUUUGUGGCAUUAAUGAUUAAAUGGACCUCUUUCUCUCAAAGGAGCUGACCACAGUUGCCCUUAUUUUCCUGGAUUCACUUUAUGGCCAAAAGCAUGGGAUGGCGAUUUCCUUCAGUCCUGGAGAUAAAUGAUGCUUUCUGGAGGCAGAGCACUGAGGAUUACUUUUACAGAAAUACAGCACACAAAGUAAAUCCUUGUUAGCGUGUCAUUAUUUGAGCAAGUC